UCUAUCUUGCUCCAUUCCUACAUUGAGCUCCAUGAAGGUCAAUGAUCUGGAGGCACUGGAGUCACAGAGGCACUAAAGCCUGCCCACAUAAAGCUUUUUGCAUAAGGUUAAGGCUUUUCCUUUCUGGUUAUUUUUUAUGUUAUGGACACCAAUAUUAUAAAGCCUCAUUGAUCCCAUUUUUACUGGAGAAACAAGUGGAACAGGAGCCCCUUUAGCUGUCAGUUGAACAAGCAUCAAAGAAGAUAUCAUUUCUACUGUUAAUGACAGUGUAUUGAGAUCUCAGAUCAGGAUUGCAGUCUCUUUGGACCCUACCCCACAUCCCUCAAAAACCUUAUUGAAAUUGAUCUGAAUUUAAGAAGUGCACUGAUACAUUAGUCCAAUAUCAGAUUGGCACCAAUAUAAAGAAAAUUGACUAUCGGAAAUCAGCCUGAUAUAGCCCAUAAUUUAGCCAAUAAAUGCCUGUGCAUGCGCGCAGCCACAACGCAGCAUGCAGGCAGUGAGGAGCACAGGUCAUCAGCUUGGAGAACUGCUUGCCACUGGUCUCUGUUUUUACCUUUGCGAAAGGAAAUGAUGAUCCAGAAUGAAAUUCAUUCCUGUGUAGAGGACCUGCACAAAACCUAAGCAUCAUUCCAGAUUCACUUAAUCUCUGUUACAAAGUUCUUCCCAAAAUACUCUGAAAGAAAGUUUACACAAAGCUGGAAGGAUUGAUUUAUGAAGAUUAAAAGGAAAAAUGUAAAUUCACUGAAUAACAAUGAAUGGUGGCAUGAUGGUCUACAAAUAUUGGAGGACUGUAAAAUCCAAGUACAAAGAAGAUUUACACAGAGAAGAAUAUGGUAGUAUAAUUAGAACAGGGCUUAAGAAACAAAGCUGAGGAAAAUAAUUUUGAUUGACCACACAAUAAUUUUUUUCCAGCAGUGGAAUGGAGAAUGAAACAGGACAUCUUCCAACGGGAAGCAGUGUUUGCUCGUAACCACAGAUUUUUAAAACUUGACCACACAAAGCAUUUGUAUGGGCAAUGUAAGGAAAAAUCCUGUACUGGCCAGGGAUUAGACUAGAGGAUUCUCUAACCCAGAGAUUAAAAGGCUGGAAAUGAUUUUCUGUUUUAACUUCCUGUACAGCAUAGGCCCUAGACUUUUACCAAAUUACCCCUGUUGCCCAACAAACCUUUGUUCCGUUAAAAUAUGACAUCCAGAAAGGCAUCCCAAUCUUCAUCUGAAGACAUCCUGAGAUGAAGAAUCCACCAUUUCUAUUGGUACUCUGUUCCAGUGGUUAAUCACCUUAAUUGGUAAAAAAUACCAAACCCUGUGUUUUAUUUCUAAUUUGAAUGUGCUUGGCUUUGCCUUUCAUCCACUGGUAAUCCAUGGGUCUUUUUCUUCUCCAAGUAUGUCCUAUGGCUUUGGGGCCUGACCCAAAGCCCUUUGAAACCAAUGCAAAGAUCCAUGAUGACCUUAAUGGGCUUUGGAUCAGGCUCUUGUUAAGUACUCUUUUCUGUCCACACAAAUUCAUACAGCUGAUGCAUAUUAAUAGCAACAUAUCAGUGCCCUGGUGCUAUGUUGCUCCUUAAGUGGCUGUGAUUUUUAUAGGGAGUGCAGUCUGAAUACCUGGGACAGAAAAUAUUCCCAAUGCAGACAUUACAGGUAAAGGGCUGUUGCUGCCCAUGAAUGUCAACUAUAAAGGUAUUAUGGGUGAGAAAAUGUUAUAUUAGCAGAGAUGUAAAACAACUGUCCAAAAUAGACUCAGCUACCUGUACACAUGAAGGACUGCUUUGUUCCCAAUCACAGGCAACACGUAG
Alligator sinensis (Chinese alligator) is the source of this 1792-nucleotide long non-coding RNA. RefSeq lists it as uncharacterized. The transcript is spliced from 4 exons. The record is from RefSeq and is a predicted model, not a curated record. NCBI's taxonomy places the organism in Eukaryota, Metazoa, Chordata, Crocodylia, Alligatoridae.